AAAAAAACACCCCCUUCUGUCCACCAUUUUAGGGAGAGAAAAGGAAUACCUCAGCUGCUCUCCUAUCUCACAUCCAAAUGGAAAAGGCAGAAACCAGCUUGUUUCCUCACUGCAUUAGAGGUGAGAGGAAGCAGAAUAGGAAGAGGGCAGGAAGCAGCCAACAAAGGAGAAGACUGCCCCCCAGCCCAUCUCUACAUGAAAUUCGGGCAGAGAGUGCAAGCUGAGGAGGAGUGAGGGAGAGAAGUCACCUUUCCACAGAGGGAACGACGGCACGCCGAGCACUCGCUGUACUCAGGGAACGUCCCCUCAGCCUUGGUGUCCUCCCAUGCCUAUGUGUUUGUUGGAACUGCAGUGCCUGGCAUGAGAAGUCUGGGUGCGAUGCCAUGAGCUGCCUGGGCAGGGCUAGACUGCAGCAAGUCUUGACAACUCUCCUUGUUCAAACACAGGUCUUUUUGCUUUAAUUAAGGUAAGCUAGGAAAAGAGUUAAAACUAUGAAACUGUAAAUGAGAAUGCGUCUAUGCUCUAGUUUCCCUCUUCACUGCUCCCAUAUUACUCCCAAAUCAGAAUGUUUCUUCUGUUAAAUGCUUUAGAGAGAGGAAGGGGUACUGAGGGUCUUAGCCCCAUCUUCCCGUUCAGAGGACUGCUGUAAUACAGAAAGCAAAGUCCUGUGCUAAUAUUCAACUUAAUUAACUACGGGAAUUCAGCAGGCAGCUUAUAAGGCAGUAAUCUGAGCACCAGCCAGCUGUACCUGUGAGCAGCACCACAAAGGCAAAGGGCAGGAGGGUACUCAUCAUCACUGAUACGUGUCUGCUUAUGUAGGUAUUAGUUGGGAAAUGCUAAGGGUUCUCAGUGUCGCUCUUUCCUGAAGAGUAGCAAAUCCAUACAUACAGAGAUGAAGAUAGAUGUGCAAUCUGAUUGAUUUUAUUGAGUAAUAGUCUGAGAGCUACAAUCGUGAAUUAGAAGAAGAACAAAACAAAACAAAACCACAAAAACCAUUCCCCUCAAAAAAAAAAAAAAAUCCAAAUUUCCCCAUAUUUUGGGAAACGAGCUGAAGAAAACAUUCUACACUGUAGAAGACAGCUGUAUCUGCUGAUAUCCAUGUCCUGACAUCGGAACUGAGCGGCUGCAGCUCUGCAGCGUGGAGUCCUAAAGCCUCAACCAAAAGAGGCUUAAUAGUAACAACAUGGAUAUAUUCACCACCGGGAAGAUGUUAACAUGUUAACAAAGAUUCUGGGAUACCAAUCUGGUAUAAUCAGCAACAUACUGGGUUCCUACGAAAGAUGUGGCAUUGCUCCUUAACAUCAGCUUUUAGAGAACUUUGAAAAACAAGGUUUGAAACUGCUUACAGCACUCCUUUCCUUGCAGAAAAGCACAAAGAUCGGAGUUCAAUAAAAA
RNAcentral lists this long non-coding RNA (1395 nucleotides) under Gallus gallus (chicken). The record is from RNAcentral. Lineage: Eukaryota; Metazoa; Chordata; Aves; Galliformes; Phasianidae.